RNAcentral lists this ribosomal RNA (428 nucleotides) under Bacteroidota bacterium. Its description in RNAcentral is "Bacteroidetes bacterium partial 16S ribosomal RNA". It matches the Rfam family "Bacterial small subunit ribosomal RNA", at positions 355 to 776 of the family's 1533-position model. Lineage: Bacteria; Pseudomonadati; Bacteroidota. The record is from RNAcentral.
UAGGGAAUCUUCGGCAAUGGGGGGAACCCUGACCGAGCAACGCCGCGUGAGUGAAGAAGGUUUUCGGAUCGUAAAGCUCUGUUGUUAAGGAAGAACGAGUGUGAGAAUGGAAAGUUCAUGCUGUGACGGUACAUAACCAGAAAGGGACGGCUAACUACGUGCCAGCAGCCGCGGUAAUACGUAGGUCCCGAGCGUUGUCCGGAUUUAUUGGGCGUAAAGCGAGCGCAGGCGGUUAGAAAAGUCUGAAGUGAAAGGCAGUGGCUCAACCAUUGUAGGCUUUGGAAACUGUUUAACUUGAGUGCAGAAGGGAGAGUGGAAUUCCAUGUGUAACGGUGAAAUGCGUAGAUAUAUGGAGGAACACCGGUGGCGAAAGCGGCUCUCUGGUCUGUAACUGACGCUGAGGCUCGAAAGCGUGGGGAGCGAACAGG